GGCGGCAUGCUUUACACAUGCAAGUCGAACGGUAACAGGGAGCUUGCUCCGCUGACGAGUGGCGAACGGGUGAGUAAUAUAUCGGAACGUACCCAAGAGUGGGGGAUAACGUAGCGAAAGUUACGCUAAUACCGCAUACGAUCUAAGGAUGAAAGCAGGGGACCGCAAGGCCUUGUGCUCCUGGAGCGGCCGAUAUCUGAUUAGCUAGUUGGUAGGGUAAAGGCCUACCAAGGCAUCGAUCAGUAGCUGGUCUGAGAGGACGACCAGCCACACUGGAACUGAGACACGGUCCAGACUCCUACGGGAGGCAGCAGUGGGGAAUUUUGGACAAUGGGCGCAAGCCUGAUCCAGCAAUGCCGCGUGAGUGAAGAAGGCCUUCGGGUUGUAAAGCUCUUUUGUCAGGGAAGAAACGGGUGGGGCUAAUAUCCCCAUCUAAUGACGGUACCUGAAGAAUAAGCACCGGCUAACUACGUGCCAGCAGCCGCGGUAAUAC
Molecule: ribosomal RNA, 493 nt
Filed under: uncultured beta proteobacterium
Lineage: Bacteria; Pseudomonadati; Pseudomonadota; Betaproteobacteria
Description: bacterial SSU rRNA
Rfam family: Bacterial small subunit ribosomal RNA
Source: RNAcentral